CUGAUCGCCAUGCCGCGUGUGUGAAGAAGGUCUUCGGAUUGUAAAGCACUUUAAGUUGGGAGAGUCCCAUUAAUACCUUGCUGUUUUGACGUUACCAACAGAAAACACCUGCUAACUUCGUGCCAGCAGCCGCGGUAAUACGAAGGGUGCAAGCGUUAAUCGGAAUUACUGGGCGUUUCCAGUAAAGGAAAGGUUCAGCAAGUUGGAUGUGAAAUCCCCGGGCUCAACCUGGGAACUGCAUCCAAAACUACUGAGCUAGAGUACGGAGAGGGUGGUGGAAUUUCCUGUGUAGCGGUGAAAUGCGUAGAUAUAGGAAGGAACACCAG
Molecule: ribosomal RNA, 326 nt
Filed under: uncultured Pseudomonas sp.
Lineage: Bacteria; Pseudomonadati; Pseudomonadota; Gammaproteobacteria; Pseudomonadales; Pseudomonadaceae
Description: bacterial SSU rRNA
Rfam family: Bacterial small subunit ribosomal RNA
Source: RNAcentral